GAUGAAGAACGUAGCGAAAUGCGAUAAGUAAUGUGAAUUGCAGAAUUCAGUGAAUCAUCGAAUCUUUGAACGCACAUUGCGCCCGCCAGUAUUCUGGCGGGCAUGCCUGUCCGAGCGUCAUUUCAACCCUCAAGCCCCCGGGCUUGGUGUUGGAGAUCGGCGAGCCCCCCGGGGCGCGCCGUCUCCCAAAUAUAGUGGCGGUCCCGCUGUAGCUUCCUCUGCGUAGUAGCACACCUCGCACUGGGAAACAGCGUGGCCACGCCGUAAAACCCCCCACUUCUGAAUGUUGACCUCGGAUCAGGUAGGAAUACCCGCUGAACUUAAGCAUAUCAAUAAGCGGAGGA
This 344-nucleotide unclassified non-coding RNA is filed under the name soil metagenome. RNAcentral describes it as "partial contains 5.8S ribosomal RNA, internal transcribed spacer 2, and large subunit ribosomal RNA". The stretch from base 1 to 120 matches the Rfam family "5.8S ribosomal RNA", at positions 35 to 154 of the family's 154-position model. The record is from RNAcentral.